Molecule: unclassified non-coding RNA, 3365 nt
Filed under: Hevea brasiliensis (rubber tree)
Lineage: Eukaryota; Viridiplantae; Streptophyta; Magnoliopsida; Malpighiales; Euphorbiaceae
Source: RNAcentral
GCUAAGAAAAUCAGAGGUUUGAUUCAUUUAUUCUGAAAAGGAAGGAGAAUGUCAAGAUUAGAAUAUUUGAUCUGCACAACGAAAUACAAGGAGGAUGAUCUCUAAAAAAUUAUUUUCGUUCAAGGUUAAAAAUAUUGAUGUAAACGAAAUCCAUUUCCACCACAGAAAUGAUAAAGCUUCCGAAUGAUUCAUUAUAACAAGUCCACCAUUCACAAAGUUUAUACAUAAUAAUAGGCCUGCAAAUAAAAAAAGCCUAAAUUAUUCCGUGUCAGGAAAAAAAAUUGAAAUCCAUGAUUGUUUAUCGAUUUCCUUUCUGGCAAAUGCAACUUGAAGAGUAAUCUCCACAGCCUUUCAACAUAAAUACUAAUGGAUCCAUUAGCAUUUCUGGAGGGCCAUUUAUGGAAAAAGAAAUGACGAUUCUUGAGAAAAAUUUUGAAAACUAACAGCAGAUAUUUCUCAAUGAAACAUAUUUACUAUACAAUCCAAUUAGCAAAACGAGCCAACCCCUAUGAAAAAGACACUACUACCACUAUUUAUUUACAUCAUAUUCUAGGAAGAAAGAGUCGUGGGUAGUAGUUUUAGGUUCAAACUUCAAUGAGAAACCUAACUAUAGGCCGCAUUGAUUCAAAGAAAUGUCAAAGACUAGCUUCAGGCAUAUAUUAUUUACCUGAAAUGUUAAGCAUCUGGGUCCUCUGGCUCGUCAUCAUUACUGACAUCACAAAAGAAGGGAUCCUUGAGAAGAUCAGAGGCUGAAGGUCUUGCCCUUGCCUCAGCUAUGCACUUCUCAAUAAAAGUCUUCACUUCUGGAUUUGUUACCUUGUUCAAGGCUUGGGGCUUCACUCCAGAUGUCACCUUCCUGUAUAUCUUGGCAACACUGUCACAUUCACUGUAUGGUAUCUCUACUGUUACCAUCUCUAGCAAGCACAUUCCGAAAGAGUAUAUGUCCACCAACUCAGUAUAAUCCUCCUCAUACAACUCUGGUGCCAUGUACUCUGGUGUGCCAAUGAUUGAAUGUGCUACGUGGCUCUUCCCCACUAUUGUUGCAAAGCCAAGGUCACCAAUUUUCACCUGGCCUAUAUUUCCAUUGACGAAGAUGUUACUGCAAUUCAGAUCUCUGUGAAUAAUGCAUGGAUCAUGUGUAUGCAGAUACUCUAACCCCUCAAGCACCUGCUUUGACCACUUCUUCAAGGCUUUCAAGGAGACAUGGCGAUGCUUCUCCCUGUAAUUUCUUAAAUUUCCAGAUGUGCACACCUCAGUGAUAAAAUUCAGUGUACUAGGCUCCUCAUCCAACCAAACAUUGUAGCAAACAAUGAUGUACUUGUUCUUUAAUGAUCUCAACAACUUAACCUCUGAGUGGAGCCUGUUGAUGAGUACUGGAUCUUCAAUAAAGUUCCUCAACCGCACCUGAUUCCAUGCCACCUCUAUACCUUCCUCUUGAUCAAAUGCUCGAUAAACCUUCUUCACAGCACCAGCACCAAGCAGAUCAUCAUAUCGCCCAAACCGUCCAGUAGGGUCAACUUCAACAAAUGGUUCCCCAUCUCUAUCCGAUGUAUUGGGCCUUGCAGCUGGCAUCUUCAAAUAUCAAGAUGAAGAGAAAUUCUAUAUGACAAAGACUGAUACAAUCACAAAUCUUCAGAAAACCUCAAAAUUCAGAGAGGCAGAGACAGAGUACUGACUGCUGGUGCAACACAGUCAAAUGGUUCACAAUGUAUUAAUGGAAAUAUAUACUUGUAUAGCUGAAAUAAAUCUCUCCGGUUAUGGUCAAAUAAAACUCAAUGUCUAACGGACAAAAUUUUCAUCUUAUUCACAAAAAAACAAAUGCAGUAACCGACAGAAAAAGAUCUAUUUUGACAAUUUUCACUAACAUGAUAACAAUGUAAAUCAGGGGCAUUAGGAAAAAGAUCCAAAAUCAUGGGUCAAACUGCAUAUUUUCUAUCUAUAGGGUUGAAAGCGUCUAACUAUUAACCUUUCAUCCGAUUCAGGAACUAAAUUCAUUGUCAAGAAGGGAAGAAACCUAAUUAUGAUUAUCUUAAUAAUAUAAUCAACUCAAACAAAUGCCAAUAUGCAACAAACAGAGUGUGGCACUCAAGACUUCAAAUUGAUUUAUAUUUCCAACAUGACAAGGCACAUUUCAUCUAGAGCAUGAAAAUGCUCAAAAAUAGCCAAACCAAGACUUCAAAUGAAGCUCACUUGCAAUGUUCAAACAUCAACAAGCCUAAUCUGUUCAUUCUAGCUGCAAAAUUAACACAUACAGUUUCAAUUUAAACAUAACAGACCAACAAAUACAGAGGAAAGCUCAAUAAGGCCCUCAAAUGGUUCAGUGGAAGCAAAGCUAAUUCACUAGAAAUUAUCAAAACAAAAGUUAUAAAGAAUAAGAACUACAGCUUGGGUUAGCUUGCGUUUAUUUUCCUUGCACUUUCCCAAAAAAAAAGUUAUUUUACUUCUUUUCUUUAAAGUUAAAAACUAAUUUCUCAUACUGUUGUCUUUAUCUAACUUCUUUUUUUCGUAGGAAGUGCAAUUCAUAUAUUUAUCGAAUAAAAGAUAUUUUUGCAGCAAAAUAAAAAUUUAGAUGAUGUACUUCUCAAGAGGCAAAAGGCAAAAGUUUAAAUGAGGAAGAAGAAACAAAAAUCAGAACUGGUAAGAUUGCUAAAACAGAUUGAUGAAAUCAAAGCCCUAAAUCGAAAGCCUAAAUCAUCUCAAAUUCCUAACCAAGGUUUCAAGGAUUUGUUGUGUGCGUAUGUGUGGAGUACACGAUAGACUGAAAAUGACGUAUAUAACAGAGUCACAGAAUAUCAACACGACUUAUACAAAAUUCAUUAAAGAAAACAAAAACUAUAACUAAAGAUUAUAAACUCGAAAUGAAGCUAUAUACUCAUUUUUAUGAUAUUGCAAUACACAUAAUAAUAUAAAGAAGUUUUUGCUUUCUUUCUUUCCAAGAGAAAGAAGCUUAAUAAAUAACUAGAAUUUCGAAUCUCAAACAAAAAAUGAAAGAUGAUCAUAACCGGCUAACCCUAUAAUCAGUUGGAGCUAAAACUCAGUUUCAAGUACCGGAUAGGAGAAAGAUAAAAACGUAAAACCCAAGGAAACACAGUUUUGCUGACAAAAUUAGGGAAAUUGGAGCUCCAGUGAUAACUGAAUCCAAAAUUAGGGUUACCAAGUUGAAAUCUUCAUGCAAGUUUAAAAAAACAGUUCAUGCAUAUCCUCAUAUCACACAACACAAAACACGUAGAGGUAUUAGUUACCUUGAGAAUUCAGGCUAUCAAGCUGAAGAUUUUCAGAAGAACCGACUGGAGGAGAAGGAGAGAUGAUGGGAGGUCGCUGUCAAGUUGCGAGAAGAAACGAAAGAUCACGGAAGUUUAGAAGGG